GGUUAAGCGACUAAGCGUACACGGUGGAUGCCCUGGCAGUCAGAGGCGAUGAAGGACGUGCUAAUCUGCGAUAAGCGCCGGUAAGGUGAUAUGAACCGUUAUAACCGGCGAUUUCCGAAUGGGGAAACCCAGUGUGACUCGUCACACUAUCAUUAACUGAAUCCAUAGGUUAAUGAGGCGAACCGGGGGAACUGAAACAUCUAAGUACCCCGAGGAAAAGAAAUCAACCGAGAUUCCCCCAGUAGCGGCGAGCGAACGGGGAGGAGCCCAGAGCCUGAAUCAGCAUGUGUGUUAGUGGAAGCGUCUGGAAAGGCGCGCGAUACAGGGUGACAGCCCCGUACACAAAAGCGCAUGUGCUGUGAGCUCGAUGAGUAGGGCGGGACACGUGGUAUCCUGUCUGAAUAUGGGGGGACCAUCCUCCAAGGCUAAAUACUCCUGACUGACCGAUAGUGAACCAGUACCGUGAGGGAAAGGCGAAAAGAACCCCGGCGAGGGGAGUGAAAAAGAACCUGAAACCGUGUACGUACAAGCAGUGGGAGCACCCUUUGGGGUGUGACUGCGUACCUUUUGUAUAAUGGGUCAGCGACUUAUAUUCUGUAGCAAGGUUAACCGAAUAGGGGAGCCGGAGGGAAACCGAGUCUUAAUUGGGCGUUAAGUUGCAGGGUAUAGACCCGAAACCCGGUGAUCUAGCCAUGGGCAGGUUGAAGGUUGGGUAACACUAACUGGAGGACCGAACCGACUAAUGUUGAAAAAUUAGCGGAUGACCUGUGGCUGGGGGUGAAAGGCCAAUCAAACCGGGAGAUAGCUGGUUCUCCCCGAAAGCUAUUUAGGUAGCGCCUCGUGAAUUCAUCUCCGGGGGUAGAGCACUGUUUCGGCUAGGGGGCCAUCCCGGCUUACCAACCCGAUGCAAACUGCGAAUACCGGAGAAUGUUAUCACGGGAGACACACGGCGGGUGCUAACGUCCGUCGUGAAGAGGGAAACAACCCAGACCGCCAGCUAAGGUCCCAAAGUCAUGGUUAAGUGGGAAACGAUGUGGGAAGGCCCAGACAGCCAGGAUGUUGGCUUAGAAGCAGCCAUCAUUUAAAGAAAGCGUAAUAGCUCACUGGUCGAGUCGGCCUGCGCGGAAGAUGUAACGGGGCUAAACCAUGCACCGAAGCUGCGGCAGCGACGCUGAUGCGUUGUUGGGUAGGGGAGCGUUCUGUA
Molecule: ribosomal RNA, 1204 nt
Filed under: Salmonella enterica
Lineage: Bacteria; Pseudomonadati; Pseudomonadota; Gammaproteobacteria; Enterobacterales; Enterobacteriaceae
Description: partial 23S ribosomal RNA
Rfam family: Bacterial large subunit ribosomal RNA
Source: RNAcentral